This 491-nucleotide ribosomal RNA is filed under the name uncultured bacterium. RNAcentral describes it as "partial 16S ribosomal RNA". It matches the Rfam family "Bacterial small subunit ribosomal RNA", at positions 28 to 507 of the family's 1533-position model. The record is from RNAcentral.
GAUGAACGCUGGCUACAGGCUUAACACAUGCAAGUCGAGGGGAAACGACGGGGAAGCUUGCUUCCCCGGGCGUCGACCGGCGCACGGGUGAGUAACGCGUAUCCAACCUGCCUCUGACUGAGGGAUAACCCGUCGAAAGUCGGCCUAAUACCUCAUGGUAUCGUCUGCGGGCAUCCAACGACGAUUAAAGAUUUCAUCGGUCAGGGAUGGGGAUGCGUCUGAUUAGCUUGUUGGCGGGGUAACGGCCCACCAAGGCUACGAUCAGUAGGGAUUCUGAGAGGAAGGUCCCCCACAUUGGAACUGAGACACGGUCCAAACUCCUACGGGAGGCAGCAGUGAGGAAUAUUGGUCAAUGGGCGAGAGCCUGAACCAGCCAAGUAGCGUGCAGGAAGACGGCCCUAUGGGUUGUAAACUGCUUUUAUGCGGGGAUAAAGUGAGGGACGUGUCCCUCAUUGCAGGUACCGCAUGAAUAAGGACCGGCUAAUUCCGUG